Molecule: ribosomal RNA, 468 nt
Filed under: uncultured bacterium
Lineage: Bacteria
Description: partial 16S ribosomal RNA
Rfam family: Bacterial small subunit ribosomal RNA
Source: RNAcentral
GACGAACGCUGGCGGCGUGCUUAACACAUGCAAGUCGAACGGAAAGGCCCUGCUUUUGUGGGGUGCUCGAGUGGCGAACGGGUGAGUAACACGUGAGUAACCUGCCCUUGACUUUGGGAUAACUUCAGGAAACUGGGGCUAAUACCGGAUAGGAGCUCCUGCUGCAUGGUGGGGGUUGGAAAGUUUCGGCGGUUGGGGAUGGACUCGCGGCUUAUCAGCUUGUUGGUGGGGUAGUGGCUUACCAAGGCUUUGACGGGUAGCCGGCCUGAGAGGGUGACCGGCCACUUGGGGAGGGAGUACCGCCCAAGACUCCGCGGGGGGCAAGAGGGGGGAAAUAUUCAACAGGGGGCGGAAGCUUGAUGCCGCACCCCCGGGUGGGGGAUGCGGGCUUUGGGUUUUAAACCCUCUUUCCCCUGGGACGAGGGGGGAGGGAGGUUAAGGUAAAAAGAACCACGGCCAAACCCGGCC